GGGUUGUGAGGUUAAGCGACUAAGCGUACACGGUGGAUGCCCUGGCAGUCAGAGGCGAUGAAGGACGUGCUAAUCUGCGAAAAGCGUCGGUAAGGUGAUAUGAACCGUUAUAACCGGCGAUGUCCGAAUGGGGAAACCCAGUGCAAUUCGUUGCACUAUCGUUAACUGAAUACAUAGGUUAACGAGGCGAACCGGGGGAACUGAAACAUCUAAGUACCCCGAGGAAAAGAAAUCAACCGAGAUUCCCCCAGUAGCGGCGAGCGAACGGGGAGCAGCCCAGAGUCUGAAUCAGCUUGUGUGUUAGUGGAACGGUCUGGAAAGUCCGACGGUACAGGGUGAUAGUCCCGUACACCAAAAUGCACAGGUUGUGAACUCGAAGAGUAGGGCGGGACACGUGGUAUCCUGUCUGAAUAUGGGGGGACCAUCCUCCAAGGCUAAAUACUCCUGACUGACCGAUAGUGAACCAGUACCGUGAGGGAAAGGCGAAAAGAACCCCGGCGAGGGGAGUGAAAAAGAACCUGAAACCGUGUACGUACAAGCAGUGGGAGCACCCUUUAGGGUGUGACUGCGUACCUUUUGUAUAAUGGGUCAGCGACUUAUAUUCUGUAGCAAGGUUAACCGUAUAGGGGAGCCGCAGGGAAACCGAGUCUUAACUGGGCGUUAAGUUGCAGGGUAUAGACCCGAAACCCGGUGAUCUAGCCAUGGGCAGGUUGAAGGUUGGGUAACACUAACUGGAGGACCGAACCGACUAAUGUUGAAAAAUUAGCGGAUGACUUGUGGCUGGGGGUGAAAGGCCAAUCAAACCGGGAGAUAGCUGGUUCUCCCCGAAAGCUAUUUAGGUAGCGCCUCGUGAACUCAUCUUCGGGGGUAGAGCACUGUUUCGGCUAGGGGGUCAUCCCGACUUACCAACCCGAUGCAAACUACGAAUACCGAAGAAUGUUAUCACGGGAGACACACGGCGGGUGCUAACGUCCGUCGUGAAGAGGGAAACAACCCAGACCGCCAGCUAAGGUCCCAAAGUCACAGUUAAGUGGGAAACGAUGUGGGAAGGCACAGACAGCCAGGAUGUUGGCUUAGAAGCAGCCAUCAUUUAAAGAAAGCGUAAUAGCUCACUGGUCGAGUCGGCCUGCGCGGAAGAUGUAACGGGGCUAAACUGUGCACCGAAGCUGCGGCAGCGACACUAUGUGUUGUUGGGUAGGGGAGCGUUCUGUAAGCCUGCGAAGGUGGCCUGUGAGGGUUGCUGGAGGUAUCAGAAGUGCGAAUGCUGACAUAAGUAACGAUAAUGCGGGUGAAAAGCCCGCACGCCGGAAGACCAAGGGUUCCUGUCCAACGUUAAUCGGGGCAGGGUGAGUCGACCCCUAAGGCGAGGCCGAAAGGCGUAGUCGAUGGGAAACAGGUUAAUAUUCCUGUACUUGGUGUUACUGCGAAGGGGGGACGGAGAAGGCUAUGUUAGCCGGGCGACGGUUGUCCCGGUUUAAGCAUGUAGGCGGAGGUUCCAGGUAAAUCCGGUACCUUUUAACGCUGAGGUGUGAUGACGAGGCACUACGGUGCUGAAGUAACAAAUGCCCUGCUUCCAGGAAAAGCCUCUAAGCAUCAGGUAACAUUAAAUCGUACCCCAAACCGACACAGGUGGUCAGGUAGAGAAUACCAAGGCGCUUGAGAGAACUCGGGUGAAGGAACUAGGCAAAAUGGUGCCGUAACUUCGGGAGAAGGCACGCUGAUAUGUAGGUGAAGCCCCUGCGGGUGGAGCUGAAAUCAGUCGAAGAUACCAGCUGGCUGCAACUGUUUAUUAAAAACACAGCACUGUGCAAACACGAAAGUGGACGUAUACGGUGUGACGCCUGCCCGGUGCCGGAAGGUUAAUUGAUGGGGUUAUCCGUAAGGAGAAGCUCUUGAUCGAAGCCCCGGUAAACGGCGGCCGUAACUAUAACGGUCCUAAGGUAGCGAAAUUCCUUGUCGGGUAAGUUCCGACCUGCACGAAUGGCGUAAUGAUGGCCAGGCUGUCUCCACCCGAGACUCAGUGAAAUUGAACUCGCUGUGAAGAUGCAGUGUACCCGCGGCAAGACGGAAAGACCCCGUGAACCUUUACUAUAGCUUGACACUGAACAUUGAGCCUUGAUGUGUAGGAUAGGUGGGAGGCUUUGAAACGUGGACGCCAGUCUGCGUGGAGCCAACCUUGAAAUACCACCCUUUAAUGUUUGAUGUUCUAACGUUGGCCCCUGACCGGGGUUGCGGACAGUGUCUGGUGGGUAGUUUGACUGGGGCGGUCUCCUCCCAAAGAGUAACGGAGGAGCACGAAGGUUAGCUAAUCCUGGUCGGACAUCAGGAGGUUAGUGCAAUGGCAUAAGCUAGCUUGACUGCGAGCGUGACGGCGCGAGCAGGUGCGAAAGCAGGUCAUAGUGAUCCGGUGGUUCUGAAUGGAAGGGCCAUCGCUCAACGGAUAAAAGGUACUCCGGGGAUAACAGGCUGAUACCGCCCAAGAGUUCAUAUCGACGGCGGUGUUUGGCACCUCGAUGUCGGCUCAUCACAUCCUGGGGCUGAAGUAGGUCCCAAGGGUAUGGCUGUUCGCCAUUUAAAGUGGUACGCGAGCUGGGUUUAGAACGUCGUGAGACAGUUCGGUCCCUAUCUGCCGUGGGCGCUGGAGAAUUGAGGGGGGCUGCUCCUAGUACGAGAGGACCGGAGUGGACGCAUCACUGGUGUUCGGGUUGUCAUGCCAAUGGCAUUGCCCGGUAGCUAAAUGCGGAAGAGAUAAGUGCUGAAAGCAUCUAAGCACGAAACUUGCCCCGAGAUGAGUUCUCCCUGAGACUUUAAGUCUCCUGAAGGAACGUUAAAGACGAUGACGUUGAUAGGUCGGGUGUGUAAGCGUAGCGAUACGUUGAGCUAACCGAUACUAAUGAACCGUGAGGCUUAACCUUACAACGCCGAAG
RNAcentral lists this ribosomal RNA (2927 nucleotides) under Klebsiella aerogenes. RNAcentral describes it as "23S ribosomal RNA". It matches the Rfam family "Bacterial large subunit ribosomal RNA". Lineage: Bacteria; Pseudomonadati; Pseudomonadota; Gammaproteobacteria; Enterobacterales; Enterobacteriaceae. The record is from RNAcentral.